GGGAAAGUCAUCUUUUGUGUCUCCUGGACAUUCCAGAAGUUUCCUCCCUGCCUUUGCCAACCAAAGCUCCGCCCAGACACGAUCCGUGCGUGCAGUUAUGCAGCACACUCAGAUGAAUGGAAUUACGUUGCAUGUCAUAGUCAUUUCCUUGUUCUUUGUGGGUGAAAACAGCAAUCAGCACGCGCGUGUGCGUGUGUGUGCGCGUACAACAUGUACAUCCGCGCUGACAUGCAAAUAGGAAUGACUGCGUCCACCCUGUGUCAUCUUCAAGGUCAGCUGAAAGCAACACGGCAUGGAAGUUAUUCGUAGCGCUUUUUCCCAACCUGUACUUGACAUUCGGACUUGGUUCUACCCUCUCCCAGCUCUGUCACCUACACACAGCCUUGGCCAAAAGCCACAGUUACGUUCUCACUUGUAAAUCUAGGUGAAAGGAGGAGGCUGGCAUCCAUGCCCCUUGACAAAAUAUUUAAAUAUACGGAGCAAUAAAACAGCACGGGAGAUAGAGCUGAUAACCGUAGCAUCUGAGGGUUAGCACACAACUGACCUUCGGCCUGCAAAGCGCCAGCCUGCCCCGAAGACGACUGAGCAGCUGUAUUUCCUAUCUUAUUAUGUGACUGUGUCUUAGUGGUCACACAUGAAGAGAUCUGCCUGGUGAAUUCAUUUGAAUUAAAAAAAUAUAUUUUCUAAAAAUGUA
Long non-coding RNA from Suricata suricatta (meerkat), 694 nucleotides. RefSeq lists it as uncharacterized. The record is from RefSeq and is a predicted model, not a curated record. Lineage: Eukaryota; Metazoa; Chordata; Mammalia; Carnivora; Herpestidae. The transcript is spliced from 2 exons.